Long non-coding RNA from Xenopus tropicalis (tropical clawed frog), 529 nucleotides. RefSeq lists it as uncharacterized. The record is from RefSeq and is a predicted model, not a curated record. The transcript has 2 exons. NCBI's taxonomy places the organism in Eukaryota, Metazoa, Chordata, Amphibia, Anura, Pipidae.
CAAAGAACAUUUGUUAGUGAUGGGUUGUAUGUUCAUGAUCCUGAUGACUACUAAAAAAGACCACACAUUGUUUUUCAUAAUGGGUACAAGACUAUAACUUUUCAAUAAUGAAAUGUAACCUUCAAUUGCCACUGGAUUCCCAGUAUGUUGGUUAUUUUCAGUGUGUGGUUGCAAACAUAUCUGAGCAAAAUCAGUGCAAGAAGCAAACAAAGGCUUUCUAGCAGGCAGUGAUGGACAACUGGUUGCCUGGAUCCCCCAUACGGGGAGGUCAUAUGGGGCUUCCAGGCCACCAGUUGUUCAUCACUGCCAUGUGAAAACUACAUAAAUUAUACUGGAUGGUUCCCUUUGUUUAUUUUUAAGUGUAGACUUCUAAAAUUCAGGUUGUAUCUUUGCAUUGAGCCUUACAAAACUGAAUUACUAAUGCUCUGAGCUUGUGCAGCAUCAUGGACCCUGGGGAAAGGGUUCACCAAGAUCAUAUAGAUAUGAACCUACAGAGGGCAGUAGUGAUGAGCAAAUGAGUAUGGACCCC